UACGGGGGGGGCAAGCGUUGUUCGGAAUUACUGGGCGUAAAGGGCUCGUAGGUGGCCAACUAAGUCAGACGUGAAAUCCCUCGGCUUAACCGGGGAACUGCGUCUGAUACUGGAUGGCUUGAGUUUGGGAGAGGGACGCGGAAUUCCAGGUGUAGCGGUGAAAUGCGUAGAUAUCUGGAGGAAUACCGGUGGCGAAGGCGGCAUCCUGGACCGACAUUGACGCUGAUGAGCGAAAGCUAGGGGAGCAAACGGG
This 253-nucleotide ribosomal RNA is filed under the name uncultured bacterium. Its description in RNAcentral is "partial 16S ribosomal RNA". It matches the Rfam family "Bacterial small subunit ribosomal RNA", at positions 524 to 776 of the family's 1533-position model. The record is from RNAcentral.